This 234-nucleotide unclassified non-coding RNA is filed under the name Agaricales sp. Its description in RNAcentral is "partial contains 5.8S ribosomal RNA, internal transcribed spacer 2, and large subunit ribosomal RNA". Lineage: Eukaryota; Fungi; Basidiomycota; Agaricomycetes; Agaricales. The record is from RNAcentral.
CGCACAUUGCGCCCUUUGGCAUUCCGAGGGGCAUGCCUGUUCGAGCGUCAUUACACCACUCAAGCCCGGCUUGGUAUUGGGCGGCAGGCCUUCCUCCGCCUUAAUUUCUCCGGCUGGACGACCCGUAUCUCAGCGUUGUGGCAUUGAAUUCGCUGGCGGAAACGGGUGGUUCACGCCGAUAAACCUUCAAUUAAGGUUGACCUCGGAUCAGGUAGGGAUACCCGCUGAACUUAA